Ananas comosus (pineapple) is the source of this 1453-nucleotide RNA transcript. It is a transcript of the gene named protein DEHYDRATION-INDUCED 19-like, with no coding region annotated. The transcript has 6 exons. NCBI's taxonomy places the organism in Eukaryota, Viridiplantae, Streptophyta, Magnoliopsida, Poales, Bromeliaceae. The record is from RefSeq and is a predicted model, not a curated record.
UGGCGGGCGCACCACCCGUGGGCCGUGCCAUCUCUGUCGCGGUCGGAGCCGAGCCCGCCGCAACCGCCCACCCGCCUCCGCUCCGCCACGUCAGCACGCGGACCGACGCGGUCCGGUGUCGACAGAAACCGAUAAAACCCCUCUUCUCCUUCUUCUUCUUCUUCUUCUUCUUCGUCCUCUUCUCCCUCUCUCUCUCUCUCUCUCUCUCUCUCUCUCGAUCGAGCAAAAACCCUAAUAAAUUCCCCCGAAAAAUCCCCGAAAAGAAAAGCGAAGAGAGAGAUCGAUGGAUUCGGAUCCGUGGAUCUCCCGCCUCGCCGUCGCGAAGCGGCACAUCGCGAAUUUGCUCCACCAAAACCCCCAAUCAGGGUUUGUGGAUCGGAUGGGGUUCGACGAGUUCGAUGCGGAGGAGGAGGAGGUUCGGCCGGACUUCCCGUGCCCGUACUGCUGCGAGGAUCACGACAUCGCGUCGCUGUGUGCCCACCUCGAAGAAGAGCAUCCGUUUGAGUCUAAAGUCGCCGCUUGCCCCAUUUGCUCUGUUAAGAUUACCAGAGACAUGCUGAAUCAUAUUACUCUGCAACAUGGGCAUCUCUUUAAGAUACAGAGACGUCGCAGGUUACCUCGAUUUUCCAUUCCCAGCAGCCAGGCGAUUUCUUUGUUGGGUAGGGACCUUAAUGAGGCUCAUAUGCAGUUGCUUUUGGGAGGUGGUGGAUAUAAAUCAAGCAGUAGCAUGUCAACAAAUGCUGCUUCUGAUUCUUUUAUUUCUUCACUUUUAAAUUUCCCAACAUUAGAAGCAGAAGAAACUUUAAAAUCUCCCAUACCAACAGGAGAGAAUGCUUGUAUAGAGGAAGAAACCCCUCUCAAGAUUUGGAAGUCAAGAUCGAUCUUUUAGGUAACAAUUAUGAUGGAGUAGUAGAGCUAAAAUAAGCAACUUCAGAAAGUUCCUAAGACAACUGCAGAAGACAAUGUAGCAGAGCACAAUGCACAGCAAUAGUUUCCUGGUCAUGUAAUAGUUUCGACUCAUCACUCACAAAUGAGGAGCGAGAACAGAACCGGAAGCAAGUGACUGUGAGAGCAGCAUUCGCGCAAUGCCUGCUUCUUUCCGCUAUAUUUGGCGAGUGAUUGAAGGCAGAGCAUGAGAACCUCUCGCCACAAUGUGUUUGUUGGUAAUGUAUAUUCGUCGACAUAAGAUAUGCCUACUACCACCGAAUUGCUUUGAACCAGAAUGUUCCAAAUCAUCGGCAUUUUUCUCUAGUCCAAUUCCUCCCCCUGUGCAAAGGUGCGACUAUCUCUGUCUUAUGUCUUUGAAAUGAAUUUGCUUCAUAACUCUGUUGUAGUAAUCCGGUAUAUCUGAUUGACACAACUGUAUUCUAUGAGAUUUGUUAUUUGUAUAUCUAAUAAAGCCUGCUUUUAUAUUGAUAAUAAUAAUACAUAAAGGAUAGCUUAACCUUGAAUA